RNAcentral lists this ribosomal RNA (573 nucleotides) under uncultured bacterium. RNAcentral describes it as "partial 16S ribosomal RNA". It matches the Rfam family "Bacterial small subunit ribosomal RNA", at positions 355 to 918 of the family's 1533-position model. The record is from RNAcentral.
UGGGGAAUUUUGGACAAUGGGCGAAAGCCUGAUCCAGCAAUGCCGCGUGUGUGAAGAAGGCCUUCGGGUUGUAAAGCACUUUUGUCCGGAAAGAAAUCCUUGGCUCUAAUACAGUCGGGGGAUGACGGUACCGGAAGAAUAAGCACCGGCUAACUACGUGCCAGCAGCCGCGGUAAUACGUAGGGUGCAAGCGUUAAUCGGAAUUACUGGGCGUAAAGCGUGCGCAGGCGGUUUGCUAAGACCGAUGUGAAAUCCCCGGGCUCAACCUGGGAACUGCAUUGGUGACUGGCAGGCUAGAGUAUGGCAGAGGGGGGUAGAAUUCCACGUGUAGCAGUGAAAUGCGUAGAGAUGUGGAGGAAUACCGAUGGCGAAGGCAGCCCCCUGGGCCAAUACUGACGCUCAUGCACGAAAGCGUGGGGAGCAAACAGGAUUCAGAUACCCUGGUAGUCCACGCCCUAAACGAUGUCAACUAGUUGUUGGGGACUUCAUUUUCCUUAGUAACGUAGCUAACGCGUGAAGUUGACCGCCUGGGGAGUACGGUCGCAAGAUUAAAACUCAAAGGAAUUGACGGGG